AGCGCAGGUGGUUUCUUAAGUCUGAUGUAAAAGGCAGUGGCUCAACCAUUGUGUGCAUUGGAAACUGGGAGACUUGAGUGCAGGAGAGGAGAGUGGAAUUCCAUGUGUAGCGGUGAAAUGCGUAGAUAUAUGGAGGAACACCGGAGGCGAAAGCGGCUCUCUGGCCUGUAACUGACACUGAGGCUCGAAAGGCGUGGGAAGCAAACA
Molecule: ribosomal RNA, 207 nt
Filed under: uncultured bacterium
Lineage: Bacteria
Description: partial 16S ribosomal RNA
Rfam family: Bacterial small subunit ribosomal RNA
Source: RNAcentral